Molecule: ribosomal RNA, 468 nt
Filed under: uncultured bacterium
Lineage: Bacteria
Description: partial 16S ribosomal RNA
Rfam family: Bacterial small subunit ribosomal RNA
Source: RNAcentral
GAUGAACGCUGGCGGCGUGCUUAACACAUGCAAGUCGAACGGUGAAGGCGGAGCUUGCUCUGCUGGAUCAGUGGCGAACGGGUGAGUAACACGUGAGCAAUCUGCCCCUGACUCUGGGAUAAGCGCUGGAAACGGCGUCUAAUACUGGAUACGAGCUGCGAAGGCAUCUUCAGCAGCUGGAAAGAACUUCGGUCAGGGAUGAGCUCGCGGCCUAUCAGCUUGUUGGUGAGGUAACGGCUCACCAAGGCGUCGACGGGUAGCCGGCCUGAGAGGGUGACCGGCCACACUGGGACUGAGACACGGCCCAGACUCCUACGGGAGGCAGCAGUGGGGAAUAUUGCACAAUGGGCGAAAGCCUGAUGCAGCAACGCCGCGUGAGUGACGACGGCCUUCGGGUUGUAAACCUCUUUUAGCAGGGAAGAAGCGAAAGUGACGGUACCUGCAGAAAAAGCGCCGGCUAACUACGUG